This 460-nucleotide ribosomal RNA is filed under the name uncultured bacterium. Its description in RNAcentral is "partial 16S ribosomal RNA". It matches the Rfam family "Bacterial small subunit ribosomal RNA", at positions 338 to 795 of the family's 1533-position model. The record is from RNAcentral.
CCUACGAGUGGCUGCAGUGAGGAAUAUUGGUCAAUGGGCGGAAGCCUGAACCAGCCAAGUAGCGUGCAGGAUGACGGCCCUACGGGUUGUAAACUGCUUUUAUACGGGAAUAACGCGCCUUACGUGUAGGGCUUUGCAUGUACCGUAUGAAUAAGGACCGGCUAAUUCCGUGCCAGCAGUCGCGGUAAUACGGAAGGUCCGGGCGUUAUCCGGAUUUAUUGGGUUUAAAGGGAGCGUAGGCCGCAUGUCAAGCGUGCUGUGAAAUGUCCGGGCUCAACCCGGGCCUUGCAGCGCGAACUGGCGUGCUUGAGUCCGCGGAAAGCAGGCGGAAUUCGUCGUGUAGCGGUGAAAUGCUUAGAUAUGACGAAGAACCCCGAUUGCGAAGGCAGCUUGCUGCAGCGGAACUGACGCUGAUGCUCGAAAGCGCGGGUAUCGAACAGGAUUAGAUACCCCGGUAGUC